AACGUAGGUCACAAGCGUUGUCCGGAAUUACUGGGUGUAAAGGGAGCGCAGGCGGGAAGACAAGUUGGAAGUGAAAUCCAUGGGCUCAACCCAUGAACUGCUUUCAAAACUGUUUUUCUUGAGUAGUGCAGAGGUAGGCGGAAUUCCCGGUGUAGCGGUGGAAUGCGUAGAUAUCGGGAGGAACACCAGUGGCGAAGGCGGCCUACUGGGCACCAACUGACGCUGAGGCUCGAAAGUGUGGGUAGCAAACAGGAUUAGAUACCCGCGGCUGACUGACU
Molecule: ribosomal RNA, 278 nt
Filed under: Faecalibacterium prausnitzii
Lineage: Bacteria; Bacillati; Bacillota; Clostridia; Eubacteriales; Oscillospiraceae
Description: partial 16S ribosomal RNA
Rfam family: Bacterial small subunit ribosomal RNA
Source: RNAcentral